RNAcentral lists this non-coding RNA (27 nucleotides) under Rattus norvegicus (Norway rat). The record is from RNAcentral. Lineage: Eukaryota; Metazoa; Chordata; Mammalia; Rodentia; Muridae.
UCAAUUUGUACACACGGUCUUCUGCUC